GACGAACGCUGGCGGCGUGCCUAAUACAUGCAAGUUGAGCGCUGAAGGUUGGUACUUGUACCAACUGGAUGAGCAGCGAACGGGUGAGUAACGCGUGGGGAAUCUGCCUUUGAGCGGGGGACAACAUUUGGAAACGAAUGCUAAUACCGCAUAAAAACUUUAAACACAAGUUUUAAGUUUGAAAGAUGCAAUUGCAUCACUCAAAGAUGAUCCCGCGUUGUAUUAGCUAGUUGGUGAGGUAAAGGCUCACCAAGGCGAUGAUACAUGGCCGACCUGAGAGGGUGAUCGGCCACAUUGGGACUGAGACACGGCCCAAACUCCUACGGGAGGCAGCAGUAGGGAAUCUUCGGCAAUGGACGAAAGGCUGACCGAGCAACGCCGCGGGAGUGAAGAAGGGUUUCGGAUCGUAAAACUCUGUUGGUAGAGAAGAACGUUGGUGAGAGUGGAAAGCUCAUCAAGUGACGGUAACUACCCAGAAAGGGACGGCUAACUACGUG
RNAcentral lists this ribosomal RNA (497 nucleotides) under uncultured bacterium. RNAcentral describes it as "partial 16S ribosomal RNA". It matches the Rfam family "Bacterial small subunit ribosomal RNA", at positions 28 to 507 of the family's 1533-position model. The record is from RNAcentral.